RNAcentral lists this microRNA precursor (59 nucleotides) under Tribolium castaneum (red flour beetle). Its description in RNAcentral is "Tca-Mir-3853_pre stem-loop". Lineage: Eukaryota; Metazoa; Arthropoda; Insecta; Coleoptera; Tenebrionidae. The record is from RNAcentral.
GUGUGUAUUUUGUGAAAUGCUAUAGUUGAAUAUUUUAGUUUUUUUCAAAAUAUGCUCAU